GAUGAACGCUGGCGGCGUGCCUAACACAUGCAAGUCGAACGGAGCACUUUAACUUGAUUCUUCGGAUGAAGGUUAUUGUGACUGAGUGGCGGACGGGUGAGUAACGCGUGGGUAACCUGCCUCAUACAGGGGGAUAACAGUUAGAAAUGACUGCUAAUAACGCAUAAGACCACAGGGUCGCAUGAACCGGUGGGAAAAACUCUGGUGGUAUGAGAUGGACCCGCGUCUGAUUAGGUAGUUGGUGGGGUAACGGCCUACCAAGCCGACGAUCAGGAGCCGAACGGAGAGGGUGACCGGCCACAUUGGGACUGAGACACGGCCCGAACUCCUACUGGAGGCAGCAGUGGGGAAUAUUGCACAAUGGGGAAACCCUGAUGCAGCGACGCCGCGUGAGCGAAGAAGUAUUUCGGUAUGUAAAGCUCUAUCAGCCAGGAAGAAAAUGACGGUACCUGACUAAGAAGCACCGGCUAACUACGUGCCAGCCGCCGCGGUAA
This 494-nucleotide ribosomal RNA is filed under the name uncultured bacterium. RNAcentral's name for it is "partial 16S ribosomal RNA". It matches the Rfam family "Bacterial small subunit ribosomal RNA", at positions 28 to 523 of the family's 1533-position model. The record is from RNAcentral.